GUGCACGCUGGGCCGGGAGCCGUGGUAAGACAAAGGGUGCAAGCGUGAAACGGAAUAGCUGGGCGGAAGUGGCAGGCAGGCGGUUAGAUAAGUCAGAUGUGAAAGCCCCGGGCUCAACCUGGGAAUUGCAUUUAAAACUGUCCAGCUAGAGUCUGGUAGAGGGGGGUAGAAUUGCAGGUGUAGCGGUGAAAUGCGUAGAGAUCUGGAGGAAUACCGGUGGCGAAGGCGGCUCCCUGGCAUCAUACUGACACUGAGGUUCGAAAGCGUGGGUAGCAAACAGGAUUAGAUACCUGAGUAGUC
This 300-nucleotide ribosomal RNA is filed under the name uncultured Vagococcus sp. RNAcentral's name for it is "bacterial SSU rRNA". It matches the Rfam family "Bacterial small subunit ribosomal RNA", at positions 496 to 795 of the family's 1533-position model. The record is from RNAcentral. Lineage: Bacteria; Bacillati; Bacillota; Bacilli; Lactobacillales; Enterococcaceae.